CGGCGAGUGAAGCGGCAAAAGCUCAAAUUUUAAAGCUGACAUCUUCGGUGUCCGCGUUGUAAUUUUGUGAGGCAUCUCCGGGUAGGGCGCCGGCCUAAGUUCCUUGGAACAGGACGUCACAGAGGGUGAGAAUCCCGUGCUUGGCUGGCUGUCCCCGUCCAUGUGAGGUGUCUUCGACGAGUCGAGUUGUUUGGGAAUGCAGCUCAAAAUGGGUGGUAAAUUUCAUCUAAAGCUAAAUAUUGGUGGGAGACCGAUAGCGCACAAGUAGAGUGAUCGAAAGAUGAAAAGCACUUUGAAAAUAGAGUUAAAAAGUACGUGAAAUUGUUGAAAGGGAAGCGCUUGAGACCAGACUUCGGUAAGGGGUGAUCAGCCGUCCUUCUGGGCGGUGCACUUGCCCCCCUCCGGGCCAGCAUCGGUUGAGGCGGCGGGAUAAAGGUCCCGGGAAUGUGGCUCCUUCACGGGAGUGUUAUAGCCCGGGUGAAUGCCGCCAGCUUCGACCGAGGACCGCACCCGCAAGGGUUAGGAUGCUUGGCAUAAUGGUCUUCAGCGACCCGUCUUGAAACACGGACCAAGGAGUCUAACAUCUAUGCGAGUGUUUGGGUGUCAAACCCUUGCGCGAAAUGAAAGUGAACGGAGGUGGGAACCCGCAAGGGCGCACCAUCGACCGGUCCCGAAGUCUUCUGAAGGAUCUGAGUAGGAGCAUAGCUGUUGGGACCCGAAAGAUGGUGAACUAUGCCUGAAUAGGGUGAAGCCAGAGGAAACUCUGGUGGAGGCUCGCAGCGGUUCUGACGUGCAAAUCGAUCGUCAAAUUUGGGUAUAGGGGCGAAAG
This 829-nucleotide ribosomal RNA is filed under the name fungal sp. BG117. RNAcentral's name for it is "eukaryotic LSU rRNA". It matches the Rfam family "Eukaryotic large subunit ribosomal RNA", at positions 87 to 929 of the family's 3401-position model. The record is from RNAcentral. Lineage: Eukaryota; Fungi.